UGCGGUUUAGAGUAAUGGUAACUCAAUGGUCUCAUAAGCCAUAGCUGCAGGUUCGACUCCUGUAGCCGCAA
This 71-nucleotide transfer RNA is filed under the name Terrimonas sp. It matches the Rfam family "tRNA". From Rfam's summary of the family: Transfer RNA (tRNA) molecules are approximately 80 nucleotides in length. Their secondary structure includes four short double-helical elements and three loops (D, anti-codon, and T loops). The record is from Rfam by way of RNAcentral. RNAcentral also lists the same sequence under 1 other name. Lineage: Bacteria; Pseudomonadati; Bacteroidota; Chitinophagia; Chitinophagales; Chitinophagaceae.